CCACCUUCCUUAAGCAGCUUCUGUGCCUGAUUCUUUUCACUAUUUUUUUCUCUAGAAAGUUACAGGUCCUAAGCACAGAUAACUCCAAAUUAUUCAGAACUGUGAGGUCUGAAGUGUUAAUCUGUGUAUUAAAAUCAUGGGUUUAAAUCCUUUUUGUCUUCUUACAACAUUUAGAACAAUUGAUGCCUUGCUAGAGGAGCAAAUAAAUCCAACCUUAAUCUUAUUUAUAACUUUAGUUAAUGUUUUGAAUUGGAGCAUUUUGGAUUAAGCAGCCCCCCCCCCAGCACCAUAAGGUUAAUUUUUAUUUGUGGAGGUUCUGUUGGCUGGUUUAGAUGAAAGAUGUUAAUUACUACUUUGAUUCAAAAAAUUUCUUCAGGUAAAAGGAAAAUGCAAUUAAAAAAUGAGAAGCUAGAUGUGAGAUGCCUGGGGUUUUAGAAUAAAACCAAGCCAGUAUUUUAAAGUAAAAUAUAAUUUGAAAGAAGUUUUUUUUCUUGCAUUGCUGACCUGAGCAAGUAAAAAGAAUCAAAACAUUUUAUUCUUCCAUUCUCUCUUUGGACUCCACCUUGUCGCUAGGUCUUCUCUCUGCAUCUGCUUCACUGUUCUUUGGGUUCUGAAUGCAACAGUGAAUUUUUGUAGCCCAGCUCUUUUCUCCACGCCUCCCAGAGUGUAAAUUGUUAUUCAAGGAGUUUGACUGCAGCCCUGCAGAAACAGUCCUGAACCCAGCAUUGCUGGGACAAAGGCAGAGGGGCUCUCUUCUGCUCCGACCUGCUGGCUGACAGUUGGAAUUUUUGAUAUAUAUUUUAUUUGGUGUUUCCAAUAUGUGUUUGCCUCUCCCUCCCCACCUCCUUGCAGCCAUCUAUUACUUUAAAAACAUCUCUUCCCUAUAAACCUCAGCUCAUCCUUGUGAACUGUUUUUGACCUUGCCAUCAGUGUAACCAGCAGCUCUGAAAGUUGACUAGGAAGAAUUCCACCCGCUUUCUUACCUGUCAACUUUGCUCAGUCUCCUCCAAGCUGGGAUCAAGAAAGGGAAGCGGACUUUAUGUCUUUGUUUUUUGGUCCUUUCCCCAUUUAGGCUUUCUAUCAUAGCUUUCCCUCCUCCAUUAAUAACAAUAAAGCACCCCACAAUUUAUCUUCUUAAAUAAGAUGGGAUGGAAUCAUCGUACUUUCUUUCCUUUUGCCCUGUUGUUUCUUAUUUCUUCCAGUUUUAGCUGCUUCACUGUCUCCCAGAAGGAGAGUAUUUCAAUAAAUAGCCCUCUAGCGCUAUCUGGCGGGGCUCCAAGGGCGACGUGCGCUCGCUCUCGCUGUCUCUGGCACCUUCCCACUCUCUCUUCCCUCCUCUUUACCUUCCUCUUAUUCUUCCUCUCUCCUCUUUCUCUUGUCUCUUCCGCAAUCUUGAUCCUAUCCUCUUUUCUCUCUUCCUGAUGCCCCCCUUUCUAGCUCCUACCCUCACGUGCAGCGCAGGCAGCUGGAACGACCCGGUCAGAGGCAGAUACCCUCGGAUCCAGGUGACGCUCCGGCGAGGGAGCUCUUCUAGGACUCCCACCUUCACCCAAUGUGGCUCACACACGUCCUUUGCCUUUGAUUCGCAUCUUAAAGUUGUUUAAUCGUUGCUUAAGCCUCAACGUCUCAGCUGGCGGUGGUCUGGAGGGGCGUGAAGUUUGAAGGAAAGAAAUCAGACACUGGAAUCCCGGCUAGUGGAGACCAGCUAAGUUUUAGGAUUCCCUCCAAGACUGAUAGGAAAGAGGGCCACUUCUGGACUAGUUGUGAGGAUGUUUCUUUCUAUAACACGGAAGCACUUUUUAUAAACCUUUUAAUGUAUUUAAAUAAAUCUAUUUGGACAUUAAGAGAAGCUAUACAUACAAAGAUAGCCGGGCUUUAUGCCGGCAUUCCCAGCAUUAGGGAAAAAAAAAAUCUAACUGAGAAGCUUUUUUCCAUAACUAACCAUGGCCAAAAAAAAAAAAAAAAAAGCAAAGCAAAAGAAAGUUUCCUGCGUGCAUCUGCAUGUCUUCGUGUGCACGUUUAUAAACAUCUUCCAGUCCGUGUUUGAGUGUUACCUCCCUCCUGCCAUACACUCGAAGGCAGAGGCGUCGAGGGAUCGCCCCCAGAGAGCUGUGUUUACUUAGGUUUUUUUUUUUUUUAAUCUCUCCGCCAUGUAUGACAAGUGUUACUUUAAGAAAUUCAUCAACCUUCUACAGAUACUUCCAGUUUUACUGUAAUGAUCUGCAGAAGAGAACUGCCAUCACUUUCUCACAUCCCAAGGUGUUGCAGGGACUGAAGAGAAAGGGGAGAGCGGCUGAAACGCUUAAUUACAGCGGGGGAGGAGGGGCGCGAGGCCGGACCGAGGGAGGGGGCGUAAGGAAGGUCUUUACUUGGCCAGGUAGUACCUGGAGAAAGCUGCGAAUCCUCAUCGCGAAUAUUUGGGAAAGAUAUGGUUGCCUUUUUUUUUUUUUUUUUUUUUUUUUGGUAAUGCCUUUGGGGAGAAGUGAUACUCUUCUGUAACAAUUAGCUCAGACAAUAAAAAUAAUUGGAAAAUCA
Long non-coding RNA from Camelus dromedarius (Arabian camel), 2535 nucleotides. RefSeq lists it as uncharacterized. The record is from RefSeq and is a predicted model, not a curated record. The transcript has 2 exons. NCBI's taxonomy places the organism in Eukaryota, Metazoa, Chordata, Mammalia, Artiodactyla, Camelidae.